This 459-nucleotide ribosomal RNA is filed under the name uncultured bacterium. Its description in RNAcentral is "partial 16S ribosomal RNA". It matches the Rfam family "Bacterial small subunit ribosomal RNA", at positions 338 to 795 of the family's 1533-position model. The record is from RNAcentral.
CCUACGGGUGGCAGCAGUGAGGAAUAUUGGUCAAUGGUCGGGAGACUGAACCAGCCAAGCCGCGUGAGGGAGGAAGGUACAGAGUAUCGUAAACCUCUUUUGUCAGGGAACAAAGGCGGGGACGUGUCCCCGGAUGAGUGUACCUGAAGAAAAAGCAUCGGCUAACUCCGUGCCAGCAGCCGGGGUAAUACGGAGGAUGCGAGCGUUAUCCGGAUUUAUGGGGUUUAAAGGGUGCGCAGGCGGUCUGUUAAGUAAGCGGUCAAAGCCCGGGGCCCAACCCCGGCCCGCCGUUGAAACUGGCAGUCUCGAGUUGGAGAGAAGUAUGCGGAAUGCGCGGUGUAGCGGUGAAAUGCAUAGAUAUCGCGCAGAACUCCGAUUGCGAAGGCAGCAUGCCGGCUCCACACUGACGCUGAGGCACGAAAGCGUGGGUAUCGAACAGGAUUAGAUACCCGGGUAGUC